AACGUCAUCUGCAGUCGACGAUUCCUACGGGAGGCAGCAGUGGGGAAUCUUGGACAAUGGGCGCAAGCCUGAUCCAGCCAUGCCGCGUGAGUGAAGAAGGCCUUAGGGUCGUAAAGCUCUUUCGCCUGUGAUGAUAAUGACAGUAGCAGGUAAAGAAACCCCGGCUAACUCCGUGCCAGCAGCCGCGGUAAUACGGAGGGGGUUAGCGUUGUUCGGAAUUACUGGGCGUAAAGCGCGCGUAGGCGGAUUGGAAAGUUGGGGGUGAAAUCCCGAGGCUCAACCUCGGAACUGCCUCCAAAACUCCCAGUCUAGAGUUCGAGAGAGGUGAGUGGAAUUCCAAGUGUAGAGGUGAAAUUCGUAGAUAUUUGGAGGAACACCAGUGGCGAAGGCGGCUCACUGGCUCGAUACUGACGCUGAGGUGCGAAAGUGUGGGGAGCAAACAGGAUUAGAUACCCUGGUAGUCCACACCGUAAACGAUGAAUGCCAGUCGUCGGGCAGUAUACUGUUCGGUGACACACCUAACGGAUUAAGCAUUCCGCCUGGGGAGUACGGUCGCAAGAUUAAAACUCAAAGGAAUUGACGG
This 583-nucleotide ribosomal RNA is filed under the name uncultured marine bacterium. RNAcentral's name for it is "bacterial SSU rRNA". It matches the Rfam family "Bacterial small subunit ribosomal RNA", at positions 311 to 916 of the family's 1533-position model. The record is from RNAcentral.